Manihot esculenta (cassava) is the source of this 1446-nucleotide RNA transcript. It is a transcript of the gene named motile sperm domain-containing protein 2, with no coding region annotated. Lineage: Eukaryota; Viridiplantae; Streptophyta; Magnoliopsida; Malpighiales; Euphorbiaceae. The record is from RefSeq and is a predicted model, not a curated record. The transcript has 7 exons.
GGACGACGUUCCAGUUUCCUCUACCAAGUGAAGCAGAUUUCUUCUACCUUUUCCUGCAAAACAUACAAGUUCGAAAGAAGCACGUCAGUAAAUUUCCAAAACUCGCAUUCUAGAGCACGUUCGAAUUCCCAGAACUCCAAAAGUCAGUAAAUUCCUUCACAAAAUGGCGUUUCGUAGUUGUCAGAUUCUUGGCCGUCCAGUAAUCGCUCCCAUCAAUUUGACUAAAACUCCCUCUCGAAACUGCUAUUUCUCUGUUCAGAAUUGCAGUUUAAGCUCUAGUCAGUCUCAUAAGCAGCUAGUUUCAGAGGUUAAAGAUAAGCUUGAGAAGGAGCAUAGUAGUCUCCCAAUAGGCAAAAAUGGAAGAGAUGAUGAAGACAUGAUCCUCUGGUUUCUAAAGGACCGGAGGUUUUCUGUUGAAGAAGCUGUUGCAAAACUAACCAAAGCCAUUAAAUGGCGUCAAGAAUUUGGAGUGUCCAAAUUGACUGAGGAGUCGGUGAAGAGUGUAGCCGAGACUGGAAAAGCCUAUGUGCAUGACUUUCUUGAUGUCUGUAACAGACCAGUGCUUGUAGUGGUGCCAUCCAAGCACCUUCCUGAUGUGCAUCCUCCUGUUGAGAAUGAGAGGUUGUGCGUUUUUCUAGUUGAGAAGGCAUUGGCAAAGCUACCAGCUGGGAAAGAGGAUAUACUAGGGGUAUUCGAUCUCAGGGACUUUGCUACAGAAAAUGCUGAUCUCAAGUACUUGACCUUUGUGUUUAAUGUAUUUUACUACUAUUAUCCAAGGCGGUUAGGCGAGGUACUCUUUGUGGAUGCUCCAUUUGUAUUUAAGCCAAUUUGGCAGUUAGUCAAGCCCUUGUUAAAAUCCUAUACUUCUCUGCAGAAGAUAAAGAGCAAGCCAGUAAGAGUAUGCUCACCUAGAUAACUAGGUAAAGCCUGUUGGCAAUUGAUGGACGUUGUCCACCUUUUCACUGAAAGGUGAGGUUUUGCUCGAUGGACACUGUAAGGAAAGAAUAUUUUACAGAGGAAACUGUGCCAGCAAACUUUAGAGAUUAAAUGCAUUACAAGUCUUGAAAUAUCAGUUUGGCUCGGUAUGGAGUUGUAAUCCUGAUGAUCAACAACGAUUAAACUUGGUAUAUUGCAUCUUUAUCUGGUGGGGAAUACAAAAGGAGCAAAUUUUACCGCUCAGGUCUUAGCGCGCAGACAUUUCACCUUGUGUAUAACUCAGGAAUGGCAGUUCCUGACAGGACGCAAGCCUCCUUGUAGUUGUUUUCUCUUGUGGUUGUACUUAUUCAUGAUUCAUGAUUCGUAAAUGAUAUGAGGAAGGAUGUGUCAUAGUCUGUCGAAUAUGAAAGGUUAAUUACAUUACUACAACGUAUUUGAUUUAAUAUAUGCUUACAUGUCUUUUAUUUUAAACUAUAUGCAAAAGAAUUGAAAGAUUCAAAGAUUUUAGUA